GAUGAACGCUGGCGGCGUGCCUAAUACAUGCAAGUCGAGCGAACGGACGAGAAGCUUGCUUCUCUGAUGUUAGCGGCGGACGGGUGAGUAACACGUGGAUAACCUACCUAUAAGACUGGGAUAACUUCGGGAAACCGGAGCUAAUACCGGCUAAUAUUUUGAACCGCAUGGUUCAAAAGUGAAAGACGGUCUUGCUGUCACUUAUAGAUGGAUCCGCGCUGCAUUAGCUAGUUGGUAAGGUAACGGCUUACCAAGGCAACGAUGCAUAGCCGACCUGAGAGGGUGAUCAGCCACACUGGAACUGAGACACGGUCCAGACUCCUACGGGAGGCAGCAGUAGGGAAUCUUCCGCAAUGGGCGAAAGCCUGACGGAGCAACGCCGCGUGAGUGAUGAAGGUCUUCGGAUCGUAAAACUCUGUUAUUAGGGAAGAACAUAUGUGUAAGUAACUGUGCACAGCUUGACGGUACCUAAUCAGAAAGCCACGGCUAACUACGUG
This 497-nucleotide ribosomal RNA is filed under the name uncultured bacterium. RNAcentral's name for it is "partial 16S ribosomal RNA". It matches the Rfam family "Bacterial small subunit ribosomal RNA", at positions 28 to 507 of the family's 1533-position model. The record is from RNAcentral.